Molecule: ribosomal RNA, 364 nt
Filed under: uncultured eukaryote
Lineage: Eukaryota
Description: partial 18S ribosomal RNA
Rfam family: Eukaryotic small subunit ribosomal RNA
Source: RNAcentral
CAAAAGCGUAUAUUAAAGUUGUUGCAGUUAAAAAGCUCGUAGUUGAACCUUGGGCUUGGCUGGCCGGUCCAUCUUUUUUGAUGCGUACUGGACCCAGCCGAGCCUUUCCUUCUGGCCAGCCUUUUGGCGAACCAGGACUUUUACUUUGAAAAAAUUAGAGUGUUCAAAGCAGGCCUUUGCUCGAAUAUAUUAGCAUGGAAUAAUAGAAUAGGACGUUAUGGUUCUAUUUUGUUGGUUUCUAGGACCAUCGUAAUGAUUAAUAGGGACGGUCGGGGGUAUCAGUAUUCAGUUGUCAGAGGUGAAAUUCUUGGAUUUACUGAAGACUAACUACUGCGAAAGCAUUUACCAAGGACGUUUUCAUUAA